This 3859-nucleotide small RNA is filed under the name Pongo abelii (Sumatran orangutan). RNAcentral's name for it is "retained intron". Lineage: Eukaryota; Metazoa; Chordata; Mammalia; Primates; Hominidae. The record is from RNAcentral.
AAACAAUCUCGAUUCUAAAUUGAAACGAACGCAGCAUUUCAGGGACUGGAUGAGGAGCUUAAGUUUUUUUACAGAAUCAUCAGUAUCUUGGAAGAAAAAGAAUGUUAAGAAAUAACAAAACAAUAAUUAUUAAGUACUUUCUUAAUCUCAUUAAUGGAGCUUUCUUGGUUCUUGGACUUUUAUUCAUGGGAUUUGGUGCGUGGCUCUUAUUAGAUAGAAAUAAUUUUUUAACAGCUUUUGAUGGAGUCUCACUCUGUCACUAGGCUGGAGUGCAGUGGCGCAAUCUUGGCUCACUGCAACCUCUGCCUCCCGGGUUCAAGCGAUUCUCCUGCCUCAGAUUCCGAAGUAGCUGGAAUUACAGUAUGCAGUAUUGAUAACAUGGGCCUUUGCUGUUCAGGUUGUACUUUCAGCAUUCAUCGUCACAAAGAAAGAGGAGGUUCAGCAACUAUGGCAUGACGAAAUUGAUUUUGUCAUUUCUGAGUAUGGAUCUAAAGAUAAGCCUGAAGAUAUAACCAAGUGGACUAUUCUGAAUGCCUUACAGAAAACAUUACAGUGUUGUGGCCAACAUAAUUACACAGACUGGAUAAAGAAUAAGAACAAAGAAAAUUCAGAACAGGUGCCAUGUUCUUGCACAAAGUCAACUUUAAGAAAGUGGUUUUGUAAUGAGCCACUGAAUGCAACUUACCUCGAGGUAAAGAUAAAUCUUGGCUUCUCUAAGUAUUUAUAGUAUUUUGUUUGUUUAUUUUGCAAGUCAAUUUAGAAUUCUGAGCAAAUUUUUAUAUAAAAAUAAUGUUGACGGUGGCUACAUUCUUAAUCCACUUCCCUAAGUUGAACACGUAAUUAGGUAAAUUGUAGUGUUAUUUCCAGUGUAUAAUACAUAAAGUAAAUAAAUUUCCUGGGAGUAUAUGAUUUAUGUAUUCUUGGAACUUGGGAUAUCAUCAGUCUUUCUCCCCAACCUUCCUUGAGAAGUCUUGCAGAAAAAGGAGGCACUUUUGUCAAAGCCUUGGUGCAUAAGAUUGGAAAGGGAGCUAAAACACCAGGAGUAAAAGAAUAGGCAAAAACUAAAGGGAGUGGACCCCAGCAAUGAUGAAUGUGGUGUUCAAGUAAGUGUGGCAGAAGCAAGAGUAAAGGGUUCUCUGGAGCAACUGCGAUUUACAGGUGUGGGAUACUGAUAACUAGAUUUUUCCAUCCCAAGAACUGCUAAUACUUUGUACAGUUUACAUAUUAAGCUUAUUCUCAUCUUAAGAUGUAUUGUUUCAAUUGCAUAAUUAAUUCAUAAAUAAAUGGAACAUUACUUUAAAAAAAAUCUACUCUUUGGGAAAUAACCAUUUUAGGUGGUGGUAUGUACAGUAGUUGCCCCUAUCUGCAGUUUCACGUUGUGAGAGUUCAACCAUUGAAAAUAUUAAGUGGAAAAUUCCAGAAAUAAACAAUUCAUAAGUUUUAAAUUGCACACUGUUCUGGGUAGAAUGAUGAAAUCUUGUGUCUUCCUGCCCUGUCCCUCCUGGGACAUGAGUCAUCCCUUUGUCCAGUGUAUUCAUGCUGCUGAUGCUACCCACUCUUAGUCACUUAGUAGUCAUCUUCAUUAUAAGAUCGACUGUUGAGGUAUCACAGUGCCUGUGUUCAAGAACCCUUAAUUUACUUAAUGAUGACCCCAAAGUGUAAGAAUAGUGAUGCUGGCAUAUUGUUAUAAUUGUUCUAUUUUAUUAUUAGUUAUUGUUUUAAUCUCUUGUUGUGCCUAAUUUAUAAAUUAAACUCUAUUAUAUAUAUGUUUCUAUAGGAAGACAUGUAAUAUAUUUAGGGUUUGAUAUUGUCUGUGUUUUCAGGCCUCCACUGGAGGUAUUGCUGGUGGGUAGGUGGGGAAAUUACUGUAUCCUGAUGAAUUACAAUAGUCUGCAGAAGAGAAAAUCUCUUCCUAAAAUGUAAUAAAUUUCUGAUUUUAAUUACAUGAUAACAUCUUAGCAAUUUUAAAAUUAGCAACUGAGGUGUCCUGCUGCUAUAGAAAGCUUUCUGGACUAAAAGUCCAGUUCGCCAGUUAGAUAUUGACUUACUAUUUAGACUUUGGUAAAUUACUAAUCUCUGUUUACCUUUUAUUUUCUGUAAAGAUUUAUGUAUAAGAUUAUUUCCAUCUCCAUGUCCAUCUGAAUAACUUCUUUUUCUUAGGGUUGUGAAAAUAAAAUCAGUGCAUGGUAUAAUGUUAAUGUGUUAACCUUAAUUGGAAUUAACUUUGGACUUUUAACUUCAGAGGUAAGCUUCUGUUCAUAUGUUAAAAUGAAAAAUAUUAUGUAUAAACUAUACAGAAUAGACUGCAGAGCAAUCAGGUGGAGACCUAAUCAGAUAAGUUCAUAUAAUAGAGCCAGGACUUUGAGGCUCUUUACAUCCAAGAGUUCUAUAGGUGAUUCCUUAAUCAGCCAGGUCGGGGGAGCCUAUUAAUAAGUGGUCAUCCUGGAGGUAGUGAUUUUAUUACUUUGAGAUAUCUAGUACCUAUGUAUAUUUUUAUCUUUCUUUCUUUAUAUACGUAUAGAUAGAUCUAUAGAUGUAUAUAUAUCUUUGUGUGUGUGUGUGUGCAUAUGUGCAUAUAUAUAUAUAUAUAAAUAUAUAUAUAUAUAUAUAUGUUCAUAUAUUGGCAGUAAGAGUACCAUGUUGGGCAGUCUGCAAGUUGCCAGACUUCUGAAAUCUAGGCAGAUGUUUGACUUUAGUAAGAUCCACUAUUCACUCAUAUGUUCAUUCAUUCAAUGUAUUUGGAGGGACGGGGGGCAUUUACUGUGUGUCAUGUACUGUACUAGAUGUUGAAUAUACAAUGAGACGCAAAAUAGACACAUUCCAUGACCUGAAGGCGUCCACUGCAGAAUUAAGUUUCAGAAGCAAGACGCUAUUCUUCAGUCUCAGUGAAGACUAUUAAGAAUAAGUGCAGGCUAUGGAUUCAAAGAAACUGUGAGAGUAAAUAGAGUGUUAUAGUGGGGACUAUGCCACUAAAGCAAAUACUGCGUUUUUUGAGAGAUAGAAUAAGGAUUCUGCAUUUGACUUUGUAUAGAUCCAUGAAGCCCCUGACCUAAGUUUUCAUCUCUUCAAUUGGUAACAAUUUUCGUCUCAGAAUGGUAGUAAACCAAGACAUUCUUUAUACACAUUAAUAUCAUUGUUUUUAAAUGUUUAUUCUCUAUCGUGUUCAUGCUGGAAUAUCUUAAGACAAAACUGCAGAGGUAAUAUCCACGUUCCAUUUUAUCUUCUGCCCUUUACAAGCCACCUUUCAUUAUCUAUAAAAAAAAAAGAAGCAGUUUUGUACAUUUAAUGACAUAGUUAGAAAGAUAUCGAACAACAACAACAAGAAAACCAUCAGCAGUUUGUCCAGGCAUGUAGCUCAGUGAUAGCUAAUGUAAUUAAAACUUAAAGGUUUUUCCUUAUUCUCCUCUAUACAUGAACUUGGUAACAGGUGGGUUAUUCUUGAAGACUCAUUUUGCAGACUUCCUAUUCACAACUGUAUGUACCUUAUUCUGAAAUUUUCUCACCAGUUUUGAUCCCUUUUCCCUUUACAAUACACAUUUUGGUGACUAUAUAGUGUUAACUUUGCAAAUUACUCUUAUCAUUGAUUAAAUUUUGAUCUCUUAUUGUUCCCUUUUCUUCCAGGUUUUCCAAGUCUCAUUAACAGUUUGUUUCUUCAAACACAUCAAGAAUAUAAUCCAUGCAGAAAUGUGACCUUUGGAUUUCAAUGUGUUCAGAAGAAACCAGUUAAUUCUUAAAAAAUCACAUUAUAUUAUUUUAUUCCAAAAACGUUUUGAAUUAUAUUAAAUAACAGAUCUAUUCAAAUUAUUGAUUAUAUGUAAUAUUGAAUUACUGAAUACUAAAAUAAAACAUUCAUGAAAUU